This 325-nucleotide long non-coding RNA is filed under the name Medicago truncatula (barrel medic). RNAcentral's name for it is "lncRNA gene4182". Lineage: Eukaryota; Viridiplantae; Streptophyta; Magnoliopsida; Fabales; Fabaceae. The record is from RNAcentral.
CUUAGUUUUAAAAUUUUGUUUAUCAUAAUUUUUAAAUAAGUUUUUGGGUCUGCGACUAUUUUUAAAUAUUUCAGAUUAUGUGAUUUAAUAAGAGCAACAAUUUAAAUCUCUCUACUUUUUUAAUAAUACUCUACAAGAAAAAGUUGACUUUUUAGGUUCAUAGAAUAAUUAAUGUAUUUUAUUGUUAAUAUAGACUAGAUAAUAAGGACCGGAGGGAGUAGCUUGUAUGCUCACCACACCAGGAGUGUUUGAUUCACGUGGGCAAGCAAGAAAGCAUAAACAGUUUAAAAACCUAUCACAAGUGAAAUUCUUUUUUACCAUCUAA